RNAcentral lists this ribosomal RNA (402 nucleotides) under uncultured bacterium. RNAcentral describes it as "bacterial SSU rRNA". It matches the Rfam family "Bacterial small subunit ribosomal RNA", at positions 30 to 433 of the family's 1533-position model. The record is from RNAcentral.
AGCGAACGCUGGCGGCGUGGAUUAGGCAUGCAAGUCGAACGGGAUUGAGCCGCAAGGUUCAGUUCAGUGGCGAAAGGGCGAGUAAUACAUCGAUCAUCUACCCCAGGGCCCGGAACAACACCUGGAAACGGGUGCUAAUGCCGGAUGGUCCAGUAAUGGUAAACGGCGGGGACCGCAAGGCCUGCCGCCCAGGGAGGAGUCGAUGGCCUAUCAGCUUGUUGGUGAGGUAACGGCNCACCAAGGCGAAGACGGGUAGCCGGACUGAGAGGUUGGUCGGCCGCACUGGGACUGGGACACUGCCCAGACUCCUACGGGAGGCUGCAGUCGAGGAUCUUCCGCAAUGGGGGCAACCCUGACGGAGCGACGCCGCGUGCAGGAUGAAGGCCUCGGUCGUAACGUAGC